RNAcentral lists this non-coding RNA (45 nucleotides) under Schistosoma bovis. RNAcentral also lists the same sequence under 1 other name. The record is from RNAcentral. Lineage: Eukaryota; Metazoa; Platyhelminthes; Trematoda; Strigeidida; Schistosomatidae.
AUCCGGCUGAUGAGUCCCAAACAGGACGAAACGCGCGUCCUGGAU